Molecule: long non-coding RNA, 263 nt
Filed under: Nicotiana benthamiana
Lineage: Eukaryota; Viridiplantae; Streptophyta; Magnoliopsida; Solanales; Solanaceae
Description: long non-coding RNA (NBEN_LNC023017)
Source: RNAcentral
UUUAAUUAGAAAAACUUCCAUAUACCUCUUUCGGGGUAGAUAAAAGAGGUGUGACACUUACUACGAGAUGGUGGCUCGAAAGAGGGGGAGCGCUGAAGCUUCAAAGGUAGCUGAGCCAGUGACAGUCGAGAUGGCUCAUCUUCGGACCGAAGAAAACUCGGAAGAUGAUCUUAGCAAAGUCUCUGAGUCAUCAGAGGCUGAAGAUUUCUCCCACUGUGAUGAACAGCCGGCAAAUAUGCAUGUCCGUCGUGACGAACAAUUGG